This 460-nucleotide ribosomal RNA is filed under the name uncultured bacterium. RNAcentral's name for it is "partial 16S ribosomal RNA". It matches the Rfam family "Bacterial small subunit ribosomal RNA", at positions 338 to 795 of the family's 1533-position model. The record is from RNAcentral.
CCUACGGGAGGCUGCAGUGAGGAAUAUUGGUCAAUGGCCGGAAGGCUGAACCAGCCAUGCCGCGUGAAGGUCAGUGCCCUAUGGGCGUUAAACUUCUUUUGUGCGGGAGCAAUAAUGGUCACGUGUGGCCCGACGAGAGUACCGUACGAAUAAGCAUCGGCUAACUCCGUGCCAGCAGCCGCGGUAAUACGGGGGAUGCAAGCCUUAUCCGGAUUGAUUGGGUUUAAAGGGUGCGUAGGCUGUGAGGUAAGUCAGCGGUGAAAUGCCCCCGCUCAACGGGGUGAAGUGCCAUUGAUACUGCCUUGCUGGAAUGCGGAUGCCGUGGGAGGAAUGUGUGGUGUAGCGGUGAAAUGCAUAGAUAUCACACAGAACACCGAUUGCGAAGGCAUCUCACGAAUCCGCGAUUGACGCUGAUGCACGAAAGCGUGGGUAUCAAACAGGAUUAGAUACCCCAGUAGUC